UGAAUACGAGACGCUAAGGCGUCGAAGUAGUGUAUGCCAUACUUCCAAGAAAAGCUUGCACUGUCAUAAAUAAAGAAUGCCUGUACCAUAACCGACACAGGUGGGUAAGUAGAGUAUACUAAGGGGCGCGAGAUAACUCUCUCUAAGGAACUCGGCAAAAUAACUCCGUAACUUCGGGAGAAGGAGUGCCUUAUUCUUAAGGUUGCAAUAACAAGAUCCAAGCAACUGUUUAUCAAAAACACAGGUCUCCGCUAAGUCGUAAGACGAUGUAUGGGGGCUGACGCCUGCCCAGUGCCAGAAGGUUAAAGAAGUCGGUUAGCAAUUGCGAAGCUGGUAACUGAAGCCCUGGUGAACGGCGGCCGUAACAAUAACGGUCCUAAGGUAGCGAAAUUCCUUGUCGGGUAAGUUCCGACCCGCACGAAAGGCGUAAUGAUUUGGAUGCUGUCUCGGAGAGAGGCUCGGUGAAAUAGACUUGUCUGUGAAGAUGCGGACUACCUGCACCAGGACAGAAAGACCCUAUGAAGCUUUACUGUAACUUGAAAUUGAAAUUGGACUUUACUCGCGCAGUAUAGGUGGGAGGCGUUGAUUAUAAUCUCGUGGGAUUAUUGGAGCCAUCAGUGAGAUACCACUCUUGUAAUGUUAGAUUUCUAACUUUGAAUCAUUAUCUGGUCAAAGGACAGUUUCAGGCGGGCAGUUUGACUGGGGCGGUCGCCUCCUAAACGGUAACGGAGGCGUACAAAGGUUUCCUCUGAACGGUUAGAAAUCGUAUCUAGAGUGUAAAGGCAUAAGGAAGCUUGACUGUGAGACCUACAAGUCGAGCAGGGACGAAAGUCGGUCUUAGUGAUCUGACGGUACUGAGUGGAAAGGCCGUCACUCAACGGAUAAAAGUUACUCUAAGGAUAACAGGCUGAUCUCCCCCAAGAGUUCACAUCGACGGGGAGGUUUGGCACCUCGAUGUCGGCUCAUCGCAUCCUGGGGCGGUAGUACGUCCCAAGGGUUGGGCUGUUCGCCCAUGAAAGCGGUACGCGAGCUGGGUUCAGAACGUCGUGAGACAGUUCGGUCCAUAUCCGGUGUAGGCGCUAGAAUAUUGAGAGGAGCCUUCUUUAGUACGAGAGGACCGAGAAGGACAUACCUCUGGUGUACCAGUUAUCGUGCCAACGGUAAACGCUGGGUAGCUAUGUAUGGAGUGGAUAACCGCUGAAAGCAUCUAAGUGGGAAGCCCACCUCAAGAUAAGUA
Molecule: ribosomal RNA, 1237 nt
Filed under: metagenome
Description: bacterial LSU rRNA
Rfam family: Bacterial large subunit ribosomal RNA
Source: RNAcentral